This 465-nucleotide ribosomal RNA is filed under the name uncultured bacterium. RNAcentral describes it as "partial 16S ribosomal RNA". It matches the Rfam family "Bacterial small subunit ribosomal RNA", at positions 28 to 507 of the family's 1533-position model. The record is from RNAcentral.
GACGAACGCUGGCGGCGUGCUUAACACAUGCAAGUCGAACGGAAAGGCCCCUUUGGGGGUACUCGAGUGGCGAACGGGUGAGUAACACGUGAGUAACCUGCCCUUGACUUCGGGAUAACUUCAGGAAACUGGGGCUAAUACCGGAUAGGAAUCCUUGCUGCAUGGUGGGGGUUGGAAAGCUUCGGCGGUUUUGGAUGGACUCGCGGCUUAUCAGCUUGUUGGUGGAGUAGUGGCUUACCAAGGCUUUGACGGGUAGCCGGCCUGAGAGGGCGACCGGCCACAUUGGGACUGAGAGACGGCCCAGACUCCUACGGGAGGCAGCAGUGGGGAAUAUUGCACGAUGGGCGGAAGCCUGAUGCAGCAACGCCGCGUGCGGGAUGACUGCCUUCGGGUUGUAAACCGCUUUCAGCAGGGGCGAAGCUUGUGGUGACGGUACCUGCAGAAGAAGCACCGGCUAACUACGUG